Long non-coding RNA from Mytilus californianus (California mussel), 225 nucleotides. RefSeq lists it as uncharacterized. The record is from RefSeq and is a predicted model, not a curated record. The transcript is spliced from 4 exons. NCBI's taxonomy places the organism in Eukaryota, Metazoa, Mollusca, Bivalvia, Mytilida, Mytilidae.
GGAAACUGAAAACUUAUAAACUAGCAAACAAGAUCCACAACACACCAAUGUCCACAUUAUGCACCUCCUGCACCAGGGCUCUGUACUGGUCAGCCUAGGACAUUCUAUAUAGGAAAAGUGAAAUGUUAUGGCCCACCUAAAAUCAUUCCAUGCAGUAAAGGUACUAAGCCCUAACCAACAGCAGCUCGAUCAAACAACAGAUAAAUAACCAAAAGCGGUUCGAUA